AGCAGCCGCGGUAAUUCCAGCUCCAAUAGCGUAUAUUAAAGUUGUUGCAGUUAAAAGCUCGUAGUUGAAUUUCGGGGUUAGCAGGUCGGUCGUGCCAUCGGUAUGAACUGGUCUCGCUGAUCCCUCCCUCUUGACGAACUGUGAUGCCAUUGAUUUGGUGUCGCAGGGAAUCAGGACUGUUACUUUGAAAAAUUGAGUGUUUAAAGCAGGCUCACGCUUGAAUACAUUAGCAUGGAAUAAUGAAAUAGGACGUUUGAUCCUAUUUGUUGGCUUCCAGGAUUGACGUAAUGAUUAAUAGGGAUAGUUGGGGGCAUUAGUAUUCAAUUGC
This 328-nucleotide ribosomal RNA is filed under the name uncultured Glomeromycotina. RNAcentral's name for it is "SSU rRNA". It matches the Rfam family "Eukaryotic small subunit ribosomal RNA", at positions 569 to 905 of the family's 1831-position model. Lineage: Eukaryota; Fungi; Glomeromycota. The record is from RNAcentral.